Molecule: ribosomal RNA, 119 nt
Filed under: Pteropus alecto (black flying fox)
Lineage: Eukaryota; Metazoa; Chordata; Mammalia; Chiroptera; Pteropodidae
Source: RNAcentral
GACUGCAGCCAUGCCACCCUGAACGCUCCCGAUCUCAUCUUAUCUCGUGAAGCUAAGCAGGGUCGGGCCGGUUAAUACUUGGAUGAGAGACCACCUAGGAAUACCGAGUACUAUAGGCA